GACAGUUUGGGCGAGUGGUCUAAGGCGUUGGCUUCAGGCGUCAGUCCGCAAGGGCGUGAGUUCGAAUCCCACAGCUGUUA
This is a non-coding RNA of Perkinsus marinus ATCC 50983, 80 nucleotides long. The record is from Rfam. NCBI's taxonomy places the organism in Eukaryota, Perkinsozoa, Perkinsida, Perkinsidae.